RNAcentral lists this long non-coding RNA (799 nucleotides) under Cavia porcellus (domestic guinea pig). Its description in RNAcentral is "lncRNA (ENSCPOG00000034146.1)". Lineage: Eukaryota; Metazoa; Chordata; Mammalia; Rodentia; Caviidae. The record is from RNAcentral.
GAUCACUGCAGCAUGGCCUAGCGUUUCUGCUACUGGUUGUGCCCACUGAGCCUUGCCAGCUCAGGCCACCGCUGUCCUUACUGUACUGUCACCUUGUUUCAGAGGUCUUGAGCAAGGAAAGAAGGGUGAAGGUGAGCCUCACUGCCACAGCUCACAAACCCCAGUGGCCUUCCUAGGCCUCCUGUUCCCUGUCUGACAUCUAUGACAGCAGGAGCAUCAACAUUCCAACUGCCCCGGACCCUUGUUAUCUUCUCUUAGGAAGAACCUUUCUCCAUCAGCAGCCGUGUCACCUGUGUCCAGGAAUUGGAGCUUCAGUGUCCCCUGUCAAAUGGGGCCAGAAAAGAUGAAGGAAGAAGUUUCUACACAGACAUGAUGGAGUGGUGAGAGCUCUGUGGCAGAAAGCCGCACAACGCAUUUACAGAUCUGAAAGAAGAUCAAAGUGCUUACAGCUGAAGGUAUACCCAGAAAUGAGAUGAAGUGGGGGCACAGAAGAUCAGCACUGGAGUGAACAUGAGAUCACUGAACCUUCUCUGCAUGGCUGGGAACCCAUCUUGUGAUGUGAAGAGGAGUCUCAUUAGCAGCAUCUGUCAGUAUUGUCUGCAGAAGUCAGUAACACUGGAUGAAUGUAUCCUGAGAAAUAUUUGAUGAAACUUUGCUGUAGAAGCAUUUGUGACAUGUCAACAAUUUCUAGAGAGCACGAGAGAGUCCACAGGGACAAGGAGAAAAGCAAGAUAAGAAAUAUUUUUGUCCUUUCCAAACAGGGUGAGUAAAUAGUCUUGAAUCUACAGAAGAACUGCAU